RNAcentral lists this transfer RNA (66 nucleotides) under Craugastor augusti (barking frog). Its description in RNAcentral is "tRNA-Arg". The record is from RNAcentral. Lineage: Eukaryota; Metazoa; Chordata; Amphibia; Anura; Craugastoridae.
GCACUAGUCUAAACAAGACAGCUAAUUUCGACUUAGUAAAUUCUGACCCGCCCUCAGAGUGCCCCC